This 74-nucleotide transfer RNA is filed under the name Protohalopteris sp. RNAcentral describes it as "tRNA-Ala". It matches the Rfam family "tRNA". Rfam says of the family: Transfer RNA (tRNA) molecules are approximately 80 nucleotides in length. Their secondary structure includes four short double-helical elements and three loops (D, anti-codon, and T loops). Lineage: Eukaryota; Phaeophyceae; Sphacelariales; Stypocaulaceae. The record is from RNAcentral.
GGGGAUAUAUCUCAAUAUGGUAGAGUGCGUGCUUUGCAAGCAUGAUGUUGUGAGUUCAAGUCUCUCUAUCUCCA